Molecule: ribosomal RNA, 468 nt
Filed under: uncultured bacterium
Lineage: Bacteria
Description: partial 16S ribosomal RNA
Rfam family: Bacterial small subunit ribosomal RNA
Source: RNAcentral
GACGAAAGAUGGCGGCGUGCUUAACACAUGCAAGUCGAACGGAAAGGCCCUGCUUUUGUGGGGUGCUCGAGUGGCGAACGGGUGAGUAACACGUGAGUAACCUGCCCUUGACUUUGGGAUAACUUCAGGAAACUGGGGCUAAUACCGGAUAGGAGCUCCUGCUGCAUGGUGGGGGUUGGAAAGUUUCGGCGGUUGGGGAUGGACUCGCGGCUUAUCAGCUUGUUGGUGGGGUAGUGGCUUACCAAGGCUUUGACGGGUAGCCGGCCUGAGAGGGUGACCGGCCACAUUGGGACUGAGAUACGGCCCAGACUCCUACGGGAGGCAGCAGUGGGGAAUAUUGCACAAUGGGCGGAAGCCUGAUGCAGCAACGCCGCGUGCGGGAUGACGGCCUUCGGGUUGUAAACCGCUUUCGCCUGUGACGAAGCGUGAGUGACGGUAAUGGGUAAAGAAGCACCGGCUAACUACGUG